CCUACGGGAGGCAGCAGUGAGGAAUAUUGGUCAAUGGUCGGGAGACUGAACCAGCCAAGCCGCGUGAGGGAGGAAGGUACAGAGUAUCGUAAACCUCUUUUGUCAGGGAACAAAGGCGGGGACGUGUCCCCGGAUGAGUGUACCUGAAGAAAAAGCAUCGGAUAACUCCGUGCCAGCAGCCGCGGUAAUACGGAGGAUGCGAGCUUUAUCCGGAUUUAUUGGGUUUAAAGGUUGCUCAGGCGGUCUGUUAAGACAGCGGUAAAAGCCCGGGGCUCAACCCCGGCCCGCCGUUGAAACUGGCAGUCUCGAGUUGGAGAGAAGUAUGCGGAAUGCGCGGUGUAGCGGUGAAAUGCAUAGAUAUCGCGCAGAACUCCGAUUGCGAAGGCAGCAUGCCGGCUCCACACUGACGCUGAGGCACGAAAGCGUGGGUAUCGAACAGGAUUAGAUACCCCAGUAGUC
RNAcentral lists this ribosomal RNA (459 nucleotides) under uncultured bacterium. RNAcentral's name for it is "partial 16S ribosomal RNA". It matches the Rfam family "Bacterial small subunit ribosomal RNA", at positions 338 to 795 of the family's 1533-position model. The record is from RNAcentral.